GUUGGGAUAGCUCAGUUGGUAGAGCAGAG
RNAcentral lists this transfer RNA (29 nucleotides) under Papaver rhoeas (corn poppy). Its description in RNAcentral is "partial tRNA-Phe". Lineage: Eukaryota; Viridiplantae; Streptophyta; Magnoliopsida; Ranunculales; Papaveraceae. RNAcentral also lists the same sequence under 9 other names. The record is from RNAcentral.